RNAcentral lists this ribosomal RNA (518 nucleotides) under Bacillus sp. M10-C30. Its description in RNAcentral is "bacterial SSU rRNA". It matches the Rfam family "Bacterial small subunit ribosomal RNA", at positions 1 to 493 of the family's 1533-position model. Lineage: Bacteria; Bacillati; Bacillota; Bacilli; Caryophanales; Bacillaceae. The record is from RNAcentral. RNAcentral also lists the same sequence under 2 other names.
UGAGCUUGAUCCUGGCUCAGGACGAACGCUGGCGGCGUGCCUAAUACAUGCAAGUCGAGCGCAGGAAGCCGGCGGAUCCCUUCGGGGUGAAGCCGGUGGAAUGAGCGGCGGACGGGUGAGUAACACGUGGGCAACCUACCUUGUAGACUGGGAUAACUCCGGGAAACCGGGGCUAAUACCGGAUGAUCAUUUGGAUCGCAUGAUCCGAAUGUAAAAGUGGGGAUUUAUCCUCACACUGCAAGAUGGGCCCGCGGCGCAUUAGCUAGUUGGUAAGGUAAUGGCUUACCAAGGCGACGAUGCGUAGCCGACCUGAGAGGGUGAUCGGCCACACUGGAACUGAGACACGGUCCAGACUCCUACGGGAGGCAGCAGUAGGGAAUCAUCCGCAAUGGGCGAAAGCCUGACGGUGCAACGCCGCGUGAACGAUGAAGGUUUUCGGAUCGUAAAGUUCUGUUAUGAGGGAAGAACAAGUGCCGUUCGAAUAGGUCGGCACCUUGACGGUACCUCACGAGAAGCCG